This 558-nucleotide long non-coding RNA is filed under the name Homo sapiens (human). RNAcentral's name for it is "HSALNT0351884". Lineage: Eukaryota; Metazoa; Chordata; Mammalia; Primates; Hominidae. The record is from RNAcentral.
CCUGGAAUGGGAUAUGGAAGAGGAUGGACAAAGAUAACUAAUUCAGGUCCUUGAUUUUCUGAAGUGCAUUAGAAGAAAUGCAGGCAGAGAGCUCCCUGCCAGGAAGUCAUCUGAGGAAAGCCUUCCGUAUUGCUUACUUCCUCAAGCAUAGGUGGACGCGCAGGAGUGUUUCCCGUUUGCUGGUCCCAGACAUCAGCACAAAUAAAUGAAGCCAACCAAAGGACUCUGGGACCCUGGACAGUUCCUAAGUGCUUAGAGGGUCAUCUGGUCAUGGACCUGUCCCAGGGUCCUGUUGAUAUAAUUGCUUUAAAUUGCUUCCAAAGCCAAAGGACCUGGAAAAAAUAGAGACAAGGCCUUGCUCUGUCACCCAGACUACAGUGCAGUGGCAUGAUCAUAGCUCACUGCAGCCUCGACCUCCUGGGCUCAAGCAAUCCUCCUGCCUUAGCCUCCUGAGCAGCUGGGACUGCAGGCGCAUGCCACCACACCCAACUAAUAUUUAAAUUAUUUGCAGAAACAGGGUCUUGCUAUGUUGCCCAGGCUGGUCUCAAAUUCCUGGCC